Molecule: unclassified non-coding RNA, 342 nt
Filed under: soil metagenome
Description: partial contains 5.8S ribosomal RNA, internal transcribed spacer 2, and large subunit ribosomal RNA
Rfam family: 5.8S ribosomal RNA (bases 1-120)
Source: RNAcentral
GAUGAAGAACGCAGCGAAAUGCGAUAAGUAAUGUGAAUUGCAGAAUUCAGUGAAUCAUCGAAUCUUUGAACGCACAUUGCGCCCCCUGGUAUUCCGGGGGGCAUGCCUGUCCGAGCGUCAUUACUGCCCUCAAGCGCGGCUUGUGUGUUGGGCCCUCGUCCCCCCGGGGACGUGCCCGAAAGGCAGUGGCGGCGCCGUGCCCGGACCUCGAGCGUAUGGGGCUUUGUCACCCGCUCUGGAGGCCCGGCCGGCGGCCGUCGGACCACCCCAACCUUUUUAACCGGUUGACCUCGGAUCAGGCAGGGAUACCCGCUGAACUUAAGCAUAUCAAUAAGCGGAGGA